RNAcentral lists this non-coding RNA (103 nucleotides) under Pelobacter propionicus. Its description in RNAcentral is "TPP sequence". It matches the Rfam family "TPP riboswitch aptamer (THI element)". Rfam says of the family: Vitamin B(1) in its active form thiamin pyrophosphate (TPP) is an essential coenzyme that is synthesised by coupling of pyrimidine and thiazole moieties in bacteria. The previously detected thiamin-regulatory element, thi box was extended, resulting in a new, highly conserved RNA secondary structure, the THI element, which is widely distributed in eubacteria and also occurs in some archaea. The record is from RNAcentral. Lineage: Bacteria; Pseudomonadati; Thermodesulfobacteriota; Desulfuromonadia; Desulfuromonadales; Desulfuromonadaceae. RNAcentral also lists the same sequence under 1 other name.
GAAAAACGCUGGGGGAGUUUCGACUGAGAGCAACCGUUUACGGUUGCGACCCUUAGUACCUGAUCCGGGUAAUGCCGGCGGAGGGAAGCGCAUGUUAUCAACA